Molecule: ribosomal RNA, 508 nt
Filed under: uncultured bacterium
Lineage: Bacteria
Description: partial 16S ribosomal RNA
Rfam family: Bacterial small subunit ribosomal RNA
Source: RNAcentral
AUUGAACGCUGGUGGCAUGCUUAACACAUGCAAGUCGGACGGCAGCAUGGUUCGUAGCAAUACGAAUUGAUGGCGAGUGGCGAACGGGUGAGUAAUGCAUAGGAAUCUGCCUAGAGGAGGGGGAUAGCUCAGGGAAACUUGAGGUAAUACCGCGUAAGACCGUAAGGUGAAAGGGGGGGAGUUUACUCCUCUCGUCUUUAGAUGAGCCUAUGUUGGAUUAGCUAGUAGGUGAGGUAAGAGCUCGACCUAGGCGACGAUCCAUAGCUGUUCUGAGCGGAGGGACAGCCACACUUGGACUGAGACACGGCCCAGACUCCUACGGGCGGCAGCAGUGGGGAAUAUUGGACAAUGGGGGCAACCCUGAUCCAGCGAUGCCACGUGUGCGAAGAAGGCCUUCGGGUUGUAAAGCACUUUAGUGAGGGAGGAAGGCGAUAUGGCGAAUACCCGUAUUGAUUGACAGUACCUCAAGAAUAAGCACCGGCAAACUCUGUGCCAGCCGCCGCGGUAA